AUGAUAACAGCUAUGCUAGCUCCAGAGGAUUCCCUAGUCCUGGAUUUAUGGGCGGACGUUUGCCAGCGCCGCGGAGUGGACAUUCCUAGAGCCGAUUUUGAGGCUCUCUAUCUCUGGGGAAAAAGACAUGGUUUUUUUCUUACCGCUGAAAAAUCGACGUCGAAAGACUAUUGGCAGUCCCUAGGCGAUGCCUUGUUCUUCCAUUUGGUGUUUUCUGGAGACGCGGAGGUGGCCAAACUGCUUCUGCCUUGGAAAAAAAUUAUUACGAUGCUUCAGAGCUAUGGAGAGAACUCUAACUCCGACAUCUCGACAGAGGAAGAGGUCUCGGAGCGCGGCUCCGAAGGAAGGAUGGAGUCUGAUCCAGACGGUGCUCUGGUGGAUUUUGAGUCGCCAGUGACUGGGGCGGUCUUUGGACAGGGCUGCGCUUUUGGGGUUCGCUCUCCCGCCCGGCCCAAUGCUAUGUACUCGGCUGGCCUGUCCCUUUGGGAAUCUAACCCACGGAUGGGGAAUUCGCCUCCCGUGCCGCAGGUUGCAGACGGCCGGCAGCAAGACGGUGGGGUUGAGACUCUCGGAAACCCUCUCCUCCCCUCUCAGCCGGGGCCACUCUGCUCUGCGCUCGGGGAACUGCGGGUUGGAGGGGAACGAUCCAUUCUCUGUGCCUUUCCCGCUGUGAAGGGGAAUGGAAAGCCGGCGGCUCGAUCUCCGCCGCCGGCGGCAGACGGACCUCAGGGGUCGGUCUCUGUGGUCUGUGAGAACUGUGCGGUUCCUGCGAUGGUCCCUGUUAGUGCCGCGGGCCCAUCUCCAGUGCCCCGCAAAGGGGGGAGAUCGGCCCCUGUUCCCAGGCCGACCCUUGCUCCGGCGGCGGCCGCUGUCCGAGCGGCGGGCGGCUCCGCGCCUGUUGCACAGCCGAUCACCGCCGGCGGGGGAGCUGCUGGAGCCCCCGCCAGCCCCGCACCGCGCUGUGCGGAGAAUUCCGCAAAUUCGGCUGUUCAGCCGGCAGGCGAGCCGGCAGCCGGAGGCUCUGUCGACCCGCGGCCGGACCCAGUCCCCUCGGGGGGCUGCGCCGCUCCUGUGCGGGCCGGGCCCCCAGCGCGCCCCAGCUCCCCACCCUGCCCCGCGCCCCCCCAUUCCGCGGGCGGGACCGGUCCUUUGCCGGGACCGCUUCUCCCCGAGGCUCCCUCCCCCGUCGCGGUGGCGGGCACGGGCGACACGGCAGGUGCCGGGGCCCUCCUGGACACACCUUCUCUCCCUGCAGCGCCGGGCGUGGGUGACGGCGAUCCUCUGCCGCCCCAGCCCUCCCGAGCGCCGGAUUUGGACGCGCUGCUUGGGUCCGAGUCUGCUGUGGGCUCUGUACUGCAGGCAUCUGCAGACCCU
RNAcentral lists this long non-coding RNA (1374 nucleotides) under Parus major (Great Tit). RNAcentral's name for it is "lncRNA (ENSPMJG00000016425.1)". The record is from RNAcentral. Lineage: Eukaryota; Metazoa; Chordata; Aves; Passeriformes; Paridae.